ACUAUAGUUUCAAUAAGAAAUAAUGGGAGCAUGAACUUUGCAGAAAAGAUAAAAAUGGAAUGAAGACAGAACUCUGUGAGAGAAAGAACAUAGUAACUAUUCUAAUGAUGUUGGGAUCCUCAGUCUUCCAGAGGAUGGCAAUGGGAUUUGCUAAUACAGGAUGGGAGAGAGAAUGAUGUGUGAGUGUCUGUGAUGAAGAUGUCACACUUACAGCAGAAACUGAGAAACAGUGGAUAACUUCUGAAAUCUUUGGGUAUAAUCAUCUAUCUUGUGUGAUCUAAUAAUUUAAGAAAGAAGUGAUUAUGCUGUUGAAAUCGUGAAGAUUUUACAGGUCUGACUCAGCUCAGAUUCCAAGAUCUGCAGUGGGAUAAAUAGUUUAGUCUUUUUCAUCACUCAUUCUGAUACUUUCCUUCUUCCUCCAUUCACUGCUUCUAACUCAUCUGGGAUUGGAGAGUGUGAAGAAAAGAUGAAACAGACUGCCUCCCAGAUUCACUGCCAGCAUCAGCAUGCUUGACUAGGAGAGUCAGGAGGGCCCUGCCAAGUCUGAUGCACUAUCUCUACCAUGACACCCUGAGGAGGAACUUGGAUUUCAAAUUAGUGAGCAGUCGGUACAAUGUAUUUCACUAUGCCAUGUUCAACAGAAAGGAAUACGAGCUUGAAAUACAUUCACAGAGUCUGUCAUCUUUUCCUAUCUCUCCAACAAAGAGAAGAGCUUUCUUUCUAGUUUGGACUGCCAAUGUCUUCCCUUCCACCUCGGGACUCAUUCUCUUGCAAUUUGGCACUGCCAACCCAGCUGGACAUUUGAGAGACAAUAAUGUCUGUGUCGGACUUUGCCUGUGCAACCCCAGCUCCAGUGAAGGGGCAGAGCUGUGUUUGUGACUCAGACUCCUUGGCUUCAGCUGAGAAAAGAGCUGAAGCAAUGCAUAUGGCUUCACAGCUGGAGACCACACUCCUCAGCCUCCUUACAACCAACCUGUCUUGUUUGAAUCCAUUCUCUUCAAGGGAAUGAGAACAAAAUUUACGUGUGCAGCUUCCAGCCCAUCAUCCAGUUCCCUGUCUUCUGCUAGCAGUACCCUGAUUUUGCUCUGUGGAAUCAUCCUCUUCCUGACUUUCAGCUCAUGUGCUUCUGGUAAUGAAUGGUGGCGCUUGGAUGUGGCUCCCAGCUUUCUGAAAGGAUACUCCAAAAAGAAUGUUCUAACCUCCAAAGUUGGUUUCCAUAAGGAAUUUAAAGAUUGUCCUGGGAUGAUGGACCCCACAGAAGUUAUAACAAGAAGAGGACAAGAGUGACCAUUAAGUAUGAACUUCUUUAGGAGAAUAUAACAGGUUUGGAAGAUCAAGGAAUGAAGUGGACUGGCUCUGGAACUAUCCUAAAGAGAAAUGUCAUGCCACGAGAUCCCAGGGUGUAUUCCAUGUCCUCAAUGCCGGAUAGAACAAAAAGGCACCAACGGUCGUGUUACUGCUUGUGGUGGCUCCCCUUAAAAACUCCAGGUGCUGGGAGAAUCAAACAGUUUAAUAUAUGUAAAAUGCUUAGAAACAUGCUGCCUGCCUGGAGGGAUUUAAAGCUGUUCAUCUAAGCACUCUUUUGCUGUCACCAAUGGCAUCUUUGGCACAUAUAUGCAAGAAUAGUGGAUACCUGAAAGGCAUUUGGGAAUGUGAACUCAGAGACUGUGAAAGGCAAAAACAAGGACACUGUGUACCACUUGUUGCCCAGGUUGGUCUCAAAUCUUGAUUCCUGCUCUCAAGGGAUCCUUCCACUUCAGCUUCCCAAAUCACGGGAAUUACAGGGUGAAGGUACGCUCGAGCGUGGUCAUUGAGGACAAGUCGACGAGAGAUCCCGAGUACGUCUACAGUCAGCCUUACG
Molecule: long non-coding RNA, 1861 nt
Organism: Homo sapiens (human)
Lineage: Eukaryota; Metazoa; Chordata; Mammalia; Primates; Hominidae
Source: Ensembl